This 310-nucleotide long non-coding RNA is filed under the name Homo sapiens (human). RNAcentral describes it as "HSALNT0360939". The record is from RNAcentral. Lineage: Eukaryota; Metazoa; Chordata; Mammalia; Primates; Hominidae.
GUUGGGGUUGGGGUCACCGUGGUGGUGGUGCUGAUGGGUGUCGUUGUUGGGGUCUGUGUGCCGGUGGGUGUUGGGGUUGGGGUCACCGUGGUGGUGGUGGUGAUGGGUGUCAUGGUUGGGGUCUGUGUGCCGGUGGGUGUUGGGGUUGGGGUCACCGUAGUGGUGGUGCUGAUGGGUGUCGAUGUUGGGGUCUGUGUGCCGGUGGGUGUUGGGGUUGGGGUCACCAUAGUGGUGGUGGUGAUGGGUGUCAGGGUUGUACUCGGUGUGCCGGUUGGUGUUGGGGUUGGGGUCGGGGUGGUGGUGGUGGUGG